GGGGGGAGUGGCGAGGUACGGGGAGGCAGGGCCACCAGGCCCAGCGGCUGGUCCUCAUCCCGGGCGUCCAUGGGUGAUCAGGAGAGACCAGUCAGGAACCAGGGAAGGGGCCCCGAGGAGCCACUCCCCAGGAGGGCCUCCAGGAAGGGCCAUGGAGGACACUGGAUGGGAAAACUGAGGCUGGGAGAUCAGGUGAUGGGGUGUUGAAGAUCAUCCAGCCAGAGAGAUGCAAUGCAAACUCAGGACUGUCAUCCCAACGCCCAAGGCCCUCUGCCGGCCUGCCCAUGCUCUCCCUGAUCACGAGCAGGACCUUCUGGCCAUGUUCUUUAGGACACGCGGAGCUGAGGGAUCUCCCUUCAUUUGCUCUCCACCGUGGGGGCCAGGCUGGGGUCAGCCCGUCUCUCCCUCCUCCGCCGAGUGUGCUUGGGGUCUGACAUACCAAGUUCAGCCCUCUUUUUCCCUGGGGUCCCGUACUGUGCACGGCACGUGGUGCAUGCUGAUUGGGGCAGACCCCAGGAAGGGCCACCCAAGUAGAAGACAGGAAGUGGAGUCCAGGGCCUGGGGAUCACACCCAGAGUCCUUCACAAGGGCCAGUGGAUGCGCAAGCAAGGGAGGACAGCUGGGCUGGCUGAAAAGCAAAGAGCCCCGGCCCUGAGGGGUCCACCUGCGGCCAUUUUGGGGGGUUGUCUGUUCUGUAGGCAGGAGCAGCAGUUCAGCCUCAAAACCUCAGGCCCAGGUGUGGGUGCCGUACCUGCUGCAGCCCCUGUGGCCUGUGUGAGUGAGCAACUUAUGAACCCGAGUCCUCCCCUGUUAAAUGAACUAAUCAGAGCUCAUGGGGUGCAGGAGAUUUGAGGAUAAGAAGCGUGUGGCCUUCUUGCUCCUUGGAGAGGCCUCAGCUUAGGCGGGGCCCUUCCAUGUUGCUGUUUCGGGUUCAUGAUUGUAGGAGGGGGUGGCUCAGCCUGAAGAAGCUGCUCAUAAAGUGGGACCCGUUUGGAAUUCAGAAUUUUUUUUUUUAAUUGCUACCAGGGAUUGAACUCAAGGGCACUUAACCACUGAGCCACAUCCCCAGCCCUUUUGAAUCUUUUAUUUAGAGACGGUCUCGCUGAGUUGCUGAGGCCGAUUUGGACUUGUGAUCCUCCUGCCUCAGCCUCCCCAGCGCUGGGAUUGUAGGCUGCGCCAUCACGCCUGGCUUCAGGAUGUUCUUGAGACGCAGGCAUCUGCCCACUCCUCCCCGGCUGGUCUUGUCUGUCCACUGAAGCAGGACCUCCAGGGGCCGCUGACUCCUGGCUGACCGAGUGGACACAGCCCAACCUCCUUGGAAGGACUGAGAUGACAUUUCCUGAAACCGCAGGCAGGCGGGGCUCUUUGGAAAGCCCCACUGUUCUUUCUUCAAUAAAGACAAAUGAAUUUCUUCCCCUCAGCUGACUCGGAGCCGCCGCGGGAACCUUUCCCUGGCUCUUGCCGACUCACCACUGAUUCCCUGGAAGAAUGUGGGUCAGAAGGGACACCCUGUGGGAAAGGGACAGCUGACCUGAAAUCUGUAACAGCAGGAGUCCAGACAUGGACCUGAUUCCUCCCUGGCGAGUCCGGGAAUGGUGGACCCUGGUACUGAGAGCAUUCGCUAGGAGUAAUAAUAGGAAUGACAGCCAGCGUUGCCUUGGCACCCACCGUGGGCCAGGCGUCUCAAGUGUGCAAGGAUUCACUUCAUCCUGACGUUACCCACUGUGACCACUUAGCUCCUGUGAGGGUCAGUCAAUUCCGUUUUAUCCCCACUUCACGGAGGAAGAAACCGAGGCUCGAAGGGGUCAACUCUCCCGUCCAGGAUCCCACAAUUGCGUCCCUGUCUCUAGGCUGCGGCUGCGCUCACCUUUCCAACUCGAGGACCUGCUGGGAGAGGACGCGCUGCUGGUCGUGGGCCAGGUCUCGGCUACUCUGCAGCUGGCUUAUUUCUUUCCUGGGAGAGGACAGGCCCCACAAGGCCCAGAUUCUGACCUCUCAAAGGACCCUGCAUCAGACCCAAGCUCCACUCGCACUGAACCAUGAUGCCAGCUGAGGUCCUGGCCAGGCUCUGGAUCACGUCCCAGAUGUCACUCCACCCUAGACCAGCCCAAAGCUGACUGUGACCUUGGCUGGGACCCUGGUCCCACCUGCCAACCAUGAUGUCACUUCCAGGAUUCCAGCUCUCAGCCCACCCCUGACCCAGUCCCAGACUUCCGCCGUGAGGCCUUCAGGCUGCGACUCCUGCCUCCUGAUGGGAGCCCACCUCCCCUGCCCGUCCCCGCACCCGGGAGCCCAUUCACCUUGGGGGCCUGAGGCCGGGUGGUGACUCGCUGGGCCCGACUUGCAUAACGCAGGGUGCUGAGAGUCUCAGGGAGGCACUGGGCAGAGGGGGACACGCAGGCCACCUGGGGAGGACCCCCUGAGUGCUCCUCCCUGGGAGCCCCUCCCCCAGGCCCUGCCCUCCCAGCCAGACCCCGAGGGUACCAUGAGGGUGACCCCACGCCCCCCUAGUGAGUCUGCCAGCAACUUGGUGAGCUUGCUGUCCCGAAAAGGAAUGUGGCUCUGCUUCCGCUGUGGGUCCAGCAACAGGGAGAUGCAGUGACCUGGGUGGGGAAAGCAAGGCCCAGAAAGGUUGCACCGCUUGUCCAAAGUCACACAGCUGGAUGCUACAGAGCCGGAGCUCCACCCAGACCCAGGCGACUCCAAAAGUCCAUCUUCCACACAACCUCACUGCUCAUUCAGAUGGGUGUCCACUGCCAGCCUGGGCCUCCUGAGCGCUCAGAUGGCCUGGCCACUCUAGUCUGCAAUGCUCAGCAGGGUCCUGGCACUUGUUAGGGACCCAGGAAGUUUCUAAUCAAUGGCUGAAUGAAAAGGAAUUUCGUGAGCACCUCCCGGGUGUGGCACUGGGAGGUGCUAAGGCCCAGGCCCGUAAGGACCAUAACCUGGGGUGGGGACAUGGGUGCAGUUCUCUGCCUUGCUGGGCCUCAGUCUCUAGGUGAACCAGCACCUCCUAAGUUGGCAUGUCACUCUCGAGACCCUGAGAGUUUACAGUCGGAAAGACAACAUUCUAAAUAGGGAAGAAAGUCAGCCUUAGGGUGGGGCCAGAGGAGGCCUGUCUCCCGGUCAGCUCCUGGGCCCACCCCUAUGCAUCACAACGUCUCUGGUCCCCGCUGGGCGCAGCUAUUGGGCAAGUGCACAGGAGGGACACAGGAAACCAGACUGGCGUCCCCAGGCCUCACCCAGGGCCAGCAGGCUGCGGUUGAUGCUGUUGGCCUCGAGCAUCAGCUCCCCACGGGAUCCUGUGGCCGCCACCUUCUCACUGCCCGCCAGGUCCACGAAGCACAGCUUCCCACCAACAGGGGGCGCCCCGGGGUCUGCGGGAGGCAUCUGCUGGGGCUGGGGGACCAGGGCUUGAUGGGGACUGGGAGGACGGUUCCCAUCAAAGUCACAAGGUGGCAAGGCCAAGCGUUUCCACUGCCACCCCACCUCCAGCACACACCCAAGGUGGUUCACACACGCCCUGGGCAGCUCCCUCUGGAUCGGGCACUCACAGUGGGGCGACCUAUGUAGAGCGUGAGCAGGGCGUGGCUUCGGCUGGAGGCCUGGUUCAGGGUAUGCGCUGAUCUCCUUCUCCGGCUGAGACCUGCAGGGGCGACCAGGGGGAGCUGCACUUGGUAGAAGAGAAGGUCACUGCCAAUGAGGAAGAGAGCACCGGGCAGAGGGCCCCCGGCACACAGAGGCAGAGACAGGCAGAACAGGUGUUGGUUCACGAAAUGAUGGGAUGUGGGUCUGGCUCUAGCAGACAGGUCUAAGCAGAGGGGAGAGAACCCAGCAGAAGAAUGACGUCACCCUGACAUCCAUAAACAUCUCUCCUAUUGCUGUGUAGGAGAGGGGGGAGACCAGGCACAGAGUCACCUGAGGAAUGGCAGAGCUGGGGACCCACACCCUGGGUCCCUGCCGGAGGAGGGUGAGCCAUAACUAUUCUAUCAAUAUUCUAAGCUUGAAGGAACCAGACUGGGACAGAAGGGCCGAACAGCCUAGACUAAGAGGUUCCACCUCUACCCACAGGGCAGGGGUGGGAGGUCCUGGAGCCUAAAGGGAUGUGGCCUGGGGCUUGGAAAUGGGCUGCUGGGGAAGAGGCUUGACCCAGCUGGAGGCUGGACCUGCAGGGAGGUCGGGGCUGAAAGGAGUCUGGAAGGCACCAUCCCAGGCCUUGGGGACACAACUGGGCCAGGUCUGAGUUGCAGGUUUGCUGGUCCUUCUCCCCCAGGGGAGUUCUCUGGGUGGAGGCACAGCCCUCCACCACCCGGCAGCGCCUGCAGGAGCUCGCACCCAUCUGAAGAAGGUCCAUCAGGGUCUCCAGACUCCUGAACUCUACCACCCGCAGCUGCUCCACGUAGAAGCCCCGGGUCUUAUUCCAUCGAACGGGGAGCGGCCGGGGAGACCCCAGGCUCAGCAAGUCCCGAACCUGGGAGAGGAGGGAGCAGGGGAGGGGAAGGCUCCCUCUGAUUCUGCGCUCCAUCCGCCCAGCCCUUCUUGACAAGGGUUCCCACAUCCCCUUCGGCCCCCUGUCCCUGGCUCCUUUCCUUUUGGGCUAUUUAAAUUUAUUCCUCCCUUCCCUACCUGCUCGUUGUAGAUCUCCAGGUAGGAGGCGCGGAGGGUGACGGGGGCGCCCAGGUGCUGCACGCGGUCCAACAGCCAGGCGAAGGUCCUCUGCAUGAUGCCUGCCAGGCUGGGGGGCACAGGCACCCCGUCCCCCUGGGGGCAAAACCAGCUGAACCUAGGCGCUGGCCCCGCAGCAGCAGCACAGUGAUAAGUCCCUUCCUCCCGGGCACGGGCUCUGCGCCAGGAACCCUGCCCAGUUCCCACCAAAUAUCUCAUUUAAUCCCCACUAUCAUUUCCUUAUCAGGUUUUUCAUCAUUUCCAAAUGAAGAAACUGAGAACUAGUUAAGGGAUCAAACAUCGAACUCCAAAGGCUCCAAACGGGCAAGUCCCUUCUCCGUGAUCCUCAGUUCUCUGCCAAUAAAUGGGGGGGGGGGCGGGGCUGCAUCAUCCAAGCCCCGUCCGCGGGGAGCCCCCGGCUGCCUGCAGCUCCCAGGACCCCCGCCCGCCAGCCCCGACCUUGGAGGGCUCGGCGGGCGCUCCGCGCACCUGGGGCGGCGGUCCGGUCAGCGUGUAGGUCUUCCCGGAGCCCGUCUGGCCAAAGGUGAAGACGGUACAGGAGAAUCUGCAGGCGGCAGGGCGCGGCUGGACACGGGCUGGGGCGGCGGGCCGGGCGGGUGCGGGAGCCCACCCCCCACCCGCGCCGCGCCCCCGGCCACUCACCCGCGCAGAGCCAGCUCGCCCAGCCGCCGCACGCCGCACGCCCGGAACACGUCCUCCUGCGUGCGCGCCCCGUCCAGCACCGCGCCGAAGCGGAACGCCACGUCCGGGCCCCCGCCCGGGGGGCUCACCUGGGGAGGGCGGUGGGGGACACUCUGGAAAGGGCCAAGAUGCCCCGGGUGUGCUGUUGUAGGGUGGCUGGAGGGGUUUCUCACCUGCAGAGUCCGGGUCCCCGAGCAGUGCAGCGCGCUCUGCUCUCCUCGACGCAGCUCGGCCGCGCUCAUCGGACGCACCCUAGGAUUCCAGGGAGCAUAGAUGGUCCAUCCUGAUACCUCCGUGGGUCCCAUCUUCGCCCCGGUACCUCCUGGUCAACCUAUGCCCACCUGAGCACCACUUGGAUGGGCGUUUCCGGCCCCUCUGACCCCUGCUCCACGCUCCGCGCGGGGUCCCUGUGGCAGCAACGUGAGUUAGGGUCUCUGAGCCCCGCGCUGUCUGCUGGGCGCGACGUUCAGGGCUCCCGGAACCGUCCCAAGGCUCUGCUUACCCGUCGGGAGAGCCACGUUCCUCCAUGUCCAGCUCUGCGCCCGGCAUUAGCCCCGCCCGAGUCUGGUUCCUUUCCGCCGCACGGGGACUGUCUCCACACGGUACAUUCCCGCCCCCAUCCCGCCAGCCCGGCGGUCAUCCAUCCGUAAAGCUCCCGCCUGCCCAGGGCAGGCUGGUUAAAGAUUCACCCAGCCCACCACUGUGCCCGGAAAGUCCCAAGUUAGGUCCCCUCGCUAGGGGGUUCUCAGUCUGAGAAUCUCCUACUCCUGGCCAGUUCCAUCAGCAGGGACCCAUGGGGCCACUCAGACCAGCCUCCUUGUGCACAAAGGGACAGGAAACCAGGAUGCGAAGGACUCAGUCAAGGCCACAGAGCUACCCUGGGCAGAGCCUGGACCAGGCUUGUCUCUCCACACACCCGCCCCUCUCCCAAGAGUUCCAACUUUUCAGUUCAGCACACAGAGAGGGGAGGGGCUUGGGCACCAGGGAGAGGCCCAGGUCUCAGUCAACUCUAGGGAGGUCCCAGCUGCCUGUCACUGAGCUGAGAGCAGGUUUCCAUCAUCUGGAUAAAUAUUGGAGCGCCUGCGUCUAUAAUGCCAAAGCUAAUCCAAGGCCAGCGCGCUGUUUGACUUUCCCCUCAGGCUUCUGAGAGCAGCAGAGAUGUCUGUGAGUGCGCAGCCUGGGCAACCGCUCAUGUUGUUGCAGUCUCCAGGCUGAGCACCAGGGCAGAAGAAUCACAAGCAGACCUGUCCCUCCCAGCUCACAGUCUGGCUGAGGGGAAAGGAAAACAAUCCAGUGUGCAGGGCCUUUGCGGAGCUCAGAGGCUUGUAGGAGCCGAGGGCCAGGAGGUGAGGGUGGUCCAGACAGAGGACACUUACUUCAGGAAGGCACUGGAGGAUGUGCAGAUGGGUGUGGCAAGGAGAGGUGGUUUGAGGCUAGACUCACUUCAUGGGGGGCACACCAAGGAGCUGGGCUCACUCCUCAGGGAACCAGGAAGCCACUGUGUGUCCCAGGCAAGGAAGUGACACUGUCAGGUUGGCAUUAUUAGUGGUAUUGUCAUGCUGGCUGUCUCUAUAUGUUCUCUGAAUAUUUCCACAAACUCCUCUCCCCCUGAACACACAGCAGCUGGAAAUCCUAAAAUCCACCCACUCUGUGACAAAUGACAGCCAACCAUCAAAGCCACAUUUCUAGAAUACAGGCCACCGUGGUGGCAGCAAGCUGCCCAAGCACUGGAGGUGUGCACGUGAGAGCCACUUGACAUGUUAGUUACAGGGUCCUCUGACGGGCUUUACAGGGAGGGGACUGUAGAGCCAAGAAACACAGUCCCCAGCCCUGCCACUAACUGGCCCCUGAGCCGGGCCCCCCUGGCCUGUGUCCUCCCUGUGAACAGGGUGAGUGGUCCUCUCCUGUUUCACAUGGUCGUUUUGAGAGUUCCAUGAGACAGAACUGAAAGUUAUUCACACAUGGUAACGAAUUCCUGAAAGCCUAAAUAAAACUCCCCAAAUGAUCUUCUUUCCAUUUUUCAACCCCUGAGGUGGAUCGGGAAAGAAUCACUAUCCCUGUUUCUCACCUGGAAAAAACAAAAAGAGGGAAAAGAGGCACUUUCUCCUGUGAAAGCAGGAGAAGCCCCCACAGAAGGAGGCAGCUGUGCACCUCCCAACUGAAGAGUUUAAAUCAAAAACUGCAGGCAGUAGCUCGUGAUGCCACCUGUAGGUUGUGAUGCCACUUGUAGCGUCUUAGAGUCAUAACUCCAUUUAGAGACGAACAAGUUGCAUUUAUAAUGCCCUUGGGAGUGUUAAGGACCAUCAGAAAUUGGUGUCCCGGUGUGCAGGGCUUAGUCGGAUUGUUGCCUUGCUCACAUUGCUCAGAGAUGAGCCACCAGAAUGGGAUUUGAUAAAAGUGCAAAGCAGGAUAUGCGCCUGCUGGGGACAGGAGGGCUGCUGGGAGGGGACUUUUGCACCAGGCAUCCUAACCUGGAUCAGAAUGUGUGCAUCAUCUGACGCCACAAGCGAGAGUCUGCUCCUUUUUUUUUGUUCCCUAACAGUGAAUGAGGACAUUGCUACCCUUAAAGGGAGCAUUCAUGAGCAGAGUUUUAUUAUGUGUCCUCUGUAUGCCAGGCUUCUCGGCACUUGGGAUUCUGAGUGAACAAAACAGGUAGAGAUCCCUGUCCUUGCAGAAUUGGCCUUUCAUGAGCAGGAAGAGGCCAACGACCAAAAUCAGCACCUAUGUAAUCUGCAGAGCAUGUUAAAAAUGGAGAAGUGCUAUGCAGGUCCCAAGCAGUGGGGAGGACUGAGCGCUGGGGUGGGAAGGUUGGAGUUUACACAGCAUGGUCAUGGGGUCAUGGGAUGCCUCUUUGAGAAAGAAGGGGACAUUUGAGUCAAGACUUCAAGGAGGAGAGUGAGUUAACAAAGGAAGAAAAUAUCUGGGGGAAGAUUAGCCCAGACAGAAGAAAGGUGAGUCAGUGGGAAGGUCCUGCGGCAGAGCAGACCAGUGUGUUCAGGAACAGAGGAGGGCGGGGUGGAGCAAGGGAAGGGUGACCGGAGGUCCCAGAGGGCACAGGGCUCCAUCAGUGCUGGCUUGCAGAGGGCUCUGAAGGACUCGGGCUUUUACUCUGGAUUCAUAAAGGAGGCGAUGAGCAGUGUCCAGAUCUUGAAUAGAGUUGACAACAUUUGUUAAAGUAUUGGAUGAUGUAUGUAAGAGAAAUCAAAGUAAAUGCAAACACUAGCACA
This is a long non-coding RNA of Marmota monax (woodchuck), 8591 nucleotides long. RefSeq lists it as uncharacterized. The record is from RefSeq and is a predicted model, not a curated record. The transcript has 4 exons. Lineage: Eukaryota; Metazoa; Chordata; Mammalia; Rodentia; Sciuridae.